CAAUUUGGAACAAGAGCGGUAAAAAGUAGUUGUAAACGCGGUCCUCCUCAAACCCUUCUGGGAUAACCGGAAGAGCAUCAUCAAGGCCCUUGACAGGUUGAUCGAGCCACUGACUCUGGCGAAUAUCAAACAUGUACAAACCAGGCUGCUGGGAGAACAAGGAACUGCAUGUUGGUUUCUUGGUCCCAAAGCAUACUAAGUAGGAGUCACCGUAGAGCACCACUCCGGGAGCCAAGCGACCCCAGAAAUUCCUAUAGAGGCACUCCCACUCCUUUUUCUCCAAAUCAAACCGAACCAAGGUAUUAGAUCUGGCGCCUUUGCUAUAGGCGUAAAUAUACUUGUUAGAAAUACUGACAAGAUGCGGUGCAACUCCUAAUUCGAUUGGGAAUUCGGAAGGGAACUCUGAACGGACGUCACCGCCGCUGCGAGGAUCGAAACGGAAACGGUAGCAGCGUCGAGGUGCCAAGGUAUAGACGAGACCGUCAUCGGAGCAGGCCACCGAGCCGGUCGAAUAUAAAGUCCAUUCAUCUUUUUCGAAACGCCAUUGUUGCUUGCUUGCUUGUUCCGAUAAGUCCACGUGAUCAUACCCAAAAGAGUAUUGCACUGAACCACGUCUACCAGUAUAUUUACGUCCACCAAUCAUGUAUAAUCGGGAGUUCAACACCACAAGGCUGUUAGGAAGGGGAAGGUAAUCAAGCUGGGGAAGAUCUAGUCCAUGGAAGAUUACCUUAUCAUCGUCGUCGUCAUUCUCUUCAGAUCCUUGUUCCCUUGGCCGCCGUCCGUCCUCAAUUACGAACCAUAAGCACGACUUGUCUUCGGCCCUGACCUGUAGGUAGAUCGGUCUGUCCCACUCAACCUUCUUCUUCUCUCUUGUUCCCAUCAUCUCCAUCGUUCUUGUUUUCCUUUCGAUUCCCAUCCUCUUCCUUUCGAUCAAACCCUAGUUUCGAUCAAUUUUUCUCGUUUUUCUUUUUUGACCGUCUGCGAGAGAGAAGUACUGCUCCCAUCGCUUUGGUCUUGAUGCCUAUAUAUACAUACUUACAUAGAUGACCUAGUUUUCAUAGGGAAAGAAGAAAAAGGAAACGAAUAAAUAAAAAAGAUUGAUAAACAACGUAGAAUAUCAAUUAUUUUUGGCAAGUUAUUUCCUUAAUGUGUACUGUUUAGGAAUAUGUUUUAAAACCUUCCUUCUUCUUUUUUCGUUUCUUCCCAAAAAAAACCCUUCCUUCUUCUGCCUUUUGUUUUCUAUUUAUUUCCUUAAUUUUUUCCCCCUACAAUUAAGUUCCUUUGAAAACUAAGUGAUCCCUUCUGUAUAUCGUAAUCAGAUGGUGCUAGAUUUUAUCUCCAUAUCUUCGAAUUCACAAAGAUUCCUAAUCAUAACCCUAAAUGAAUCGUCAUUAAUAUGAAAUUCAUUUAGAUAGGAAAAGGAGUUCAACUGAGCAAAGCAGUUCAAUUCAGCCAUCUACACAUGAGUUGGUAAGCUUAUUCAAUUGAAAUUGUAAGCUUCCGCCAUUACAGAUAAAGCUGGAACAUCAAAUUGAAUCAAAUCCUAAGCCAUCUACUCCACUUAGCAAGAAUCUAAUCAAACUAAUAGACAAAAUCAAACGGACCAACAAGAAUCUAAUCCUAUGCCAUCUACUCCAUUCAAUUAGAAUUCAACAUGUGUUGUUGCCUCUCAAUUCAGUAGCACUCAGAUAAAAAGGAAAGAUGAUUUCAUGGAUAACAUACCGAAUUGUAGACAUUCAUUUCAUAUAUCGUUGGAGUCGCUAGCGGAGGCCCGAUUGCUUCUUUUCGGACUGCCGUGAGUUUGAGGUUUUCCUGAGCAAUUGUAGUAUUGAAGCCGUGACCUGCAAAUCGAAGCAAACAAGUUCAAUCGAAGAAAUUAGGGUACAAAAUGCACCAUGCCAAUGAAGAACCCAAAGAGGUAUAUGAUCACGUCAGGCAGAUAGAAUGACCCAAAUGACUAAUUCCCACUUUCAACCAAUUGGGAACUUGAGAAAAAUGAAGAUGAAAGUGGAUCAGAUUGAGAGAGAAACGAAAGACGUCAAAAUCUGACCUACGCAGUUGGACAAGGUUGAUUGAUCGUCAUUCUCUAGAUUUGGUACCUGGUUUCAGUUGGUAUCAUCUGUUUGUCGUCUCCACUUGCUUGAGCUCUUUCCAUCUUCAGACAGAGAGAGAGAGACGAAAAAGAAAUCGUUCAGAUUGAGUUUGGUAUUUCAUGCAUCUACUGAAAUCCUUUAAAAUCAGUGGAGUUUUGAAUAUUGAUGAGGCUUUACAACUCUCUUUGUGGAAUGAAAUUUCGGCUUUUAAAUCGCUAAAUGAUGAGGCUUGGCUUCUUAUGGGGGAUUUUAAUAUUGUGGAAAAUUUGAAUGAAAAACUUGGUGGUGUUUUAUGCAUCACAAACUACAUGGUCAACUUCGGUAAUUUCCUCAAUAAAAAUAAUUUAUGUUCUCUGCCUACUUCAGGUGUGCCUUUUACUUGGACAAAUAAUCACAAGGAUCAUACAGUUGUCUAUGAAAAGCUUGAUAGAGCUUGUGCUAAUCCCAAUUGGGUUAUCCAGUUUCCAGAAGCUGAAGUGGAAAACCUCCCAAUUGUGGGAUCUGAUCAUGGACCUGUUUGUGUUUCUCUGAAUCAUAAAUCUCCAAAAAGGGCUAGCCCGUUUAAAUUUGAGGACAUUUGGAUGACACACAGCUCUUUUAAGUCUCUCGUGAGAAAUAUUUGGCAACCAAUGCAUGAUACAAACCCACAAAGAAAUUUUACAACUCUUUGUGGGAAAUUUGCAACUCUGGCAAAAAGUUGGAAUAAAGAGGUUUUUGGCAACCUUUUUAGGAAAAUAGAUAUGCUGCAAGAACAAAUCUCUACUAUACAAGCUCAAUUAAUGACUGAUCCUGACCCUAUUGUUUUGCAGGUAAGGAAUGUUUUGCUUCUCUCUGAGUUAGAGGAAUUAUACAAAAUGGAGGAAUUAUUCUGGGCUCAAAAGGCAAAGACAAAUUGGCUGGCUCUUGGUGACAGGAACACCAAAUUUUUUCAAAUGAAAGCAAAUAUCAGAAAAAAAACUUUAUUCAUAGAAUCAAGGAUGAUAAUGGAUGCUGGCUCACUAACUCUGUUGACAUCAAUAGGCAGUUUGUUAUGGAUUUUAAAAAGCAUUUUACUUCAGAUACUAAUCCUAGCAGGAGUUUACUUGAUAAUUUUCAUAAUUUUAUCAAUCCAGUGGUCAUUAAACACUAUUCUGAUGCAACAGGUUACUGAAACUGAAAAAUCUUUGAAGCUGUGAAGGCAAUUGCCCCCCUAAAAGCCCCAGGCCCGACGGACUUCACGCUACUUUCUUCCACAUUUAUUGGGAGGAGGUCAAGCAUGCAGUUAAUCCUAUGGUUAAACAAUUCUUCCAAGAUGGUACUUCUCUUUCUGCUAUAAAUCACACUAAUAUUUCUUUGAUUCUGAAAAUUGACAACCCUGAAGAGGUUUCUCACUUUAGGCCUAUAAGUUCGUGCAAUGUCUCUUAUAAAUCAUUUCUAAGAUCAAUGUGAAAAGGCUUCGGCCAAUUCUUGAUAACUGUAUUUCUAAGAACCAAGGAGCUUUUGCUCCUGGUAGAUCUAUCCAUGAUAACAUCCUGAUUGCUCAUGAACUUUUUUUUGAUUUCCAAAGGAAAAAAGGUAAAAAUGGUGCAAUGGCAGUUAAGCUUGACUUAGAAAAAGCUUAUGAUUUUUUAAAUUGGAAGUAUAUAUAUUAAAGCUCUGACAAUUGGGUCAACUAGAUUAUGGAAUACAUUACUUUUGUUUCUUUCUCAAUUGUUGUUAAUGGAAAACCUGAAGGCUUCUUUCUCCCAACAAGGGUUGUAAGACAGGGAGACCCUCUUUCUCCUUACGUGUUUAUUCUUUGCAUGGAACCUCUUAUUAGGCAUCUAAAUACCUAAAUAAGCUUGUUGAGAAGUCAAGUUCUCAUGUGGGUAUUCUCUCCUCCCCCAGGGGUUUUAGAGUCACAAAUUUAAUGUUUGCUGAUGAUUGCCUCAUAUUUUGCAAAGUUUCGACAAAAGCUGCCAGAAAUGUUAUUAAGGUUCUCAACAACUUUUCUACAGCUUUUGGUCCAAAAAUUAAUUUUCACAAGUCUUCUCUGUAUUUUGCUCCUGUUGUUCCUAGUCAGACUAGGAAUGAAAUUGUUAACAUCAUGCAUAUUCAACAUAAGGCUACUGUAGGUAAGUAUUUAGGCAUUCAUAAUAUCAUUUUCUGGAAAGACCCAACUAAUGUUAAUGGUUUAUUAUCAAGAAUUAAUAACAAGCUGGCAGGUUGGAAAAAAAGGAUCCCUUUCUAAAGUAGGAAGACUCACCUUAAUCAAGGCUAAUAUUUCAGGUAUGCUAAAUCAUGUUAUGUCGUGUUUUAAAUGCCCUGCAAAAAUUACAAAGGCUAUUGACAAAAAAUCCAGAAAUUCUUCUAGGGCUCUCAAAGCAAAGCUUGUGCUGUGGCUUGGGAUCAAGCUUGUACACCCAAGGACAAGGGAGGCCUUGGGUUAAGACCUUCAGAAUGACUAUUGGUGGGUUCAGAUUGUCUCUAGGAAGUACCUUAGGAAUUCCUCUUUUUUCCAAGCUAGAAAGAAGGCCUCUUCCUCCUUAGCGUGGAAAGGCAUUCUUGACUCUAGGAACCUCAUUCAAGAAGGAAUGAGAUGGAUUGUUGGUGACUGCAACUCUAUCUUGUUUAAGCUUUUUAAUUGGGCUUUUCCUUUUCCCCUUUGUAAUUUAAUUGAUGUCUCUCAGCAUGAUACCAUUAACUUGAAUGACACUGUUGCAGAUUACAUUAUUGGAAAUAAUUGGAACAAGCAGAAGCUUCAAAUCUUGUUUGAUGCAGAUAUUGUGGAUCAAAUUUGUGGAAUUCCCAUUCCGAAUACUCCUCAUAAUGAUUCUUUUGUUUGGGGUCCUUCCCCAAAUGGAAGUUUUACAAUUAAGUCUGCUACUUGGAUCAAAAUGCAAAGGUUCAACCUCAUGAACAAUCUCCUUUUAUCAAAAAGCUGUGGAAGCUUAAUGUGCCCCCCAAAGUUAAAAUCUUUGGCUGGCUUCUGUUGCGUGGAAGGCUAAAGACUAGAGAUUGACUUCACAGGUUUGGGUUUCUAAACCAUAAUAUUUGCCCUAUUUGCAAUGUUGAGGAAGAGACCAUGGACCAUUCAUUCUGCCAUUGCCCUUCUAGUCUUGCGGUUUGGAAUCUUGCUCAUUGUAAUGAUCUUUCAAAUGCCAAUGAUAUGGUUGAAACUUUAAAUGAUAUUUUCAUUAACAGGCCCUAUGAUGCUGACAAGCUCUCAAAAAUUAUUCUUCUGUGUUGGCAGAUUUGGCAAAAAAGAAAGAAUGUCAUUUUCAGGAAUGAAAUUUUCUCUCCCCAUGCAGUGGUAGCAGGUGCAGCUGCUUUCACAAGAAGAUUGAACUCUCAAACCAACACUUCUUCUUGUGUGGCAGCUCACUCAAACAACAUCAAGUGGUCUCUUCCUUCAUCCGGCUAUGUCAAAUUGAACUUCGAUGGGUAUGUCUUUCAACACAACUCCAAUUUUGCUUCAGGCUUUGUUUUACGAGAUGAUUCUGGCUGUCCUCUUAUUGCCUAUACCAGAAGGAUAGGGAAAACUGAUGUCCCUAUAGCUGAGGUUGUUGCUCUUAGAGAUGGUCUUCUCUCUGCUCGAAAUCGCAACAUCUCGAGAGUAAUUGCUGAAGGAGACUCACAACUUGUCAUCAACUGCAUCAAAAGCACUACCAGUAUUCCUUCGAAGCUAAGCUCGAUCGUGAAGGACAUCAUACAUAUUGCUACGAGAUUUGAGCAUAUCUCUUUUUCUCAUACGUUCCAGGAAGCAAACUUCAUUGCAAAUGUUGUCGCCAACCAUAGUCAUGUUUUGGGAUUUAAAUUUUUCUCAGCCGGUUGCUACUGCUUUAAAUUUCGACUUCUUUGAAGCUGGUUGCUCUAGAGGUUUCUCUUUGUAAUUUAAGUCUUUUAGCAUCCAAAAAAAAAAAAUCAGAUUUCUAUGGAUAUUUUAAAGUCUGAAUUGAAGGAGUCCUUGUAGUGAGGACCCUUAAAUUAAGGACUAGUUGAUGACUUUUCGGUUUAUGGUUUAAAAGACCUAUUUUUUUUUUUAUCACAUCUUGGCAUCUCAUCCGUUCAGUUUUUAAGUCUAUAUGUGUAGAUCAGCCCUACAAAUUUUCAGCCAAAUCGGUGAUCGGUAAGGUAACAAACUAGAUCAAAUUAAUGGACAAACCAAAUCUGUCAAACAUGAACCGUUCAAGUUCAUAAUUGAUAAAUCACACUUAUGAAUGUCUUAACGACUUUUAAAAAUUUGCAUAAAUGAUGUACUCAUAAAUACCUAUAAACUGAACAGUCAAGAUGUGGAUAUAAGAUCGAAAAAUGAAAUAAACCGAAAAGUGAGAUAAGUCGAAAAGUCCUCAAGUAGUCCUGAACUUAAGUAGUUGAAAAGUCCUUAUUAGAAGAGCUUCCCUGAAUUGAAUACCACAAGAUUUUAAAAGAGUUUCUGAAAUCUUGAUUGAAUACCCAUGCAAAGACUUUUAAAAUCUAAAAAAAAUCCAAUAGACUCUUAAUUGAAUACACCCCCCUAAGUUCCUUUGAAAACUAGGUCCUUUCAAUAUAUCGUAAUCAAAUCAUGCUAGAUUUUAUCUCCAUAUCUCUGUCAUGCUGAAUUCACAAAGAUCCAGCCGGUGGCGUGCUGGUUGUGGCUCAUUUACUGAUGAACUCACAUUGUGGAGUUAAUAUGUGGGAGUGGCUGCAAAAUUGAUUGCAGUGGUCGAGGUGUUUGUAAUCGUGAAUUGGGACAAUGUUGGUGCUUUCAUGGAUAUAGUGGGGAAGGAUGCUCUGAGUCACUGCAGCUAAAAAAUUCAACUACCCUGGAUCACCAGAUUAACCAUAUGGGAGAUGGGUUUCCUCAAUUUGAUCGGCUCAUUGUGACACAAAAAGAGCAAUGUGCUUCUGUGGGGAAGGCACUAAAUACCCAGAUCGACAUUUAGCAGAGGCAUUUGGCGUUCAAGUGAAGCUACCCUCUGAACCUGGCACACCUAUGCUGACUGACUGGGCAAAAGAUGAACUUGAUAAUCUUCUUUCAACAAAUAGUAGCGAACCUGGAUGGUGCAAUGUCGAUCCUACAGCAGCAUAUGCUCUGAAGGUGCAAUAUAAACAGGAAUGUGAUUGCAAAUAUGAUUCUCUCGGGUCAGUUCUGUGAAGUACCUGUGCUAGGUACUUGCAUUAGUCAGUGCUCCGGCCAUGGACAUUGCCGUGGUGGAUUUUGUCAGUGUAACAAUGGCUGGUAUGGAAUCGGUUGCAGUAUUCCAUCUGCGGCAUCUUCUGUUCGAGAGUGGCCUCAAUGGCUACGGCCUGCUCAGGUUGACAUUGCAGAUAAUUCACAUCUAUAACCCUAAACGAAUCAUCAUUAAUAUGAAAUUCACCUCCUUUUUUACGUUUUUUUUAAAACCAAGCUGUCAGUUUUUUUAUUUUUUUAAUCAAAUCACAGUAUUCUAAAGGCAUUCUAUGCUCAAGGACUAAUCCGCUGCGGCCUCGACAAUAAAGGCAUUGUAGCCUCUCCCGUGACUAGUUUUGACAGAAUCGUGGUUCGAACCUAAGUAGAUAUCCCAGCGAUUGCUGGGCUAUUUCACUGCAUCGCCGGGACAGGAACACGAACAGGCACAUGACUUCACCACCGACUAGCCACGCACCAAGGGCUUAUGGGGUUUCAAACUCUAGAUUGGGUGGUUCCCAGCUAGCCAUUCUACAGCCCCACUUUCCCUAGUGUUUUCAUAUAAGUGCAUGUUAAAAAUAAUAAAACGAAUGAUCCCUAUUUAAAAAAAAAAAUCUUUUUAUUAAUUAACUCACUUUUACAAACAUCUGUGAGAUUUAAACCCGUGACCUCAACUUUUUACAAAUGAUCCACAUUGGCUUAACAACAUACUUCGACCAAUAAUAAAUGUUUGGUCAAGGAAGAGCAAAAACUACAAUAUAAGCUCAAAAAACCAUUAUUACUCGAACUCCAAAAAAAAUACGGUACAAAAAUAUGGACAACCAAAAAGGAAACACAGGGAACUUACAACACGCCUCUUUUUCUCCACAUCUGCUUUGAGAAGCUUAAUUAAGAUUUAAAUUGUGUACCGGUCCACACAUCAAAUCAGUUAACAGCUUCAAAUUAAGAUUAUAAGGAUGUUCAAAUCACGCUUACCCUAAAGGCAAGGAAAUUGACCAACACACUAGACUUCAUACAAAUUUGCAUAAGCUAGGGACCCAAACAACCCGUUGCCCAAAAGCCCAAACCCAUCACACCCAUCCAAGCCGGCCGUAAUGUCAAUCACCACCUUUCCGGCGGUCGUACAUGGCCUUCCACCAUCAGGUACUGCCUCCCUAACAACCCAAGCACAAAAUCUCGAUAUAGUGCCCAAGGAAACGGUUGUCUCCAAGUUGCAACCUGAACACUCGGUACGAAUCAUAUAGUAUAUUCCCCAAAGCAUGUAAUAGCAGAUCCAGAUGUCAAGACAUGAUAUGAAGCAAACGAUGACAAAUCAUUCCGGAAUUCAAAAACACAUGAUUUCACGACCAACGAACAAGUCCUGGUCUUCAAAACGACGCCAGUGACCCAUAAGAUCACAUCGCCAAAAGACACCAAUAUAACGCCCUAAACUGCACCUCCUCAGUUUAGGCACGUCACAAUGCCGCGUGUCAAAAGAAAAAACGCAAAGCAAUUAAUGUAAGAAAACAUUUAAGAAAAACACAACAAAAGCGUCAAAACAUUUUGAGGUGUAAAACUUAAUUUUUCUCAAAGUACUUUAAUUCACCAAAAUACUGAUACAAGGAAUGAUUAUGAAAUCAUGAACUCAAAGGAAUACAAAUUAUCAAUUAGAGUAUCAUAAAACAAACUCAUAACAGGAUUGGGCUUUUCCCUUCUCCUAAAACUUGAUUUACGGAAUGACAUAAUUAAUAAACUUAAGGAAUAAAAUUACGAAGCAGAACAGAACAGAACAAAACCAACAAAAUAGAAUUUGGUACAUGAAACUCAAAUAUAAAAAUAAAGGCCAUAGAAACCAAGUUACCAAUCAUAAAUAUGCACAUCCAACUCCUCGUCACUAUCCGUCCCAGUGCACAGUACCUGCAUCCACAAACUGUUGUAGGGAUGAGCUUUCAUCCUCGCUGCUCGAGGAACUCUUGAAAACAGAUAAAGAAAUAGUUUCAUAGGGCCCAGUAUAAAAACAAGAUUGAAUCCAAAUAUUUAAUGAACGACAAACUUUCGAAAACAUUUCUAUGAUCAAAUAAAUGAGGCGCCAUAAACUGUACCUGAUGGCCGGUCCUUUUUAGACCCACUAUCAACUUUCCUCACUAUAUGCGUGUACAACAGGUAAGUGUAGCGAGUGUCCACAAAUGCCUUAUCGCCUAGAAGCAGUGCCACUCCACAAGGAACGUAAGACACUCUUCCGUCCAUAGAGGCCCCUCCGGAGGUUUAGGGGAUUGAACCCAAGGUAGUCGCUAUGCUCCUCUCACUCUCAAGCCAUCACUAUCUCAUAACAUCGGUUACAUUUUUAUCGGAUAACUAGAUCAUGUAAUAUCAAAUAUGCAUUAAUAGUUUAUAAAACAAAUAUUACUAAUCAAGGGAGUUCCGGGUCCCCUACCUGGAAUCCGUGGCUUUCCUCGCGAACUCCCAAAACCACGAGCCUUCUGCCCCUCGGGUAACUGGAGUCCCUAAUGUCCGACAUAUAAUUGUCAAUAACUCAUUGAACACAUAUUGUAUAAAGUUACGAAGACUAAGGAAAUAUCCGACCAACUUCCAAACUGAGAGUUGACCAACAUUCAACCCACUAUAUUCUGAAAGUUACAGCUCACUAUAUUCUGACCAUUCAUGACCAACUCGACACUAAUUCCCUAUUAAUAGACAUAAGGUCUCUUUCAAGGCUUGCUCCCAUAACUUACUCAGAGCACCCAAUAUUCAGUUUUCCUUUCCUUUCCUCAGUAAAACUUUUUAUCCAUAACUGUUUACACAAUACUUACAAAAGUACCAACGCUGUUUUUGGUGACUAUAUGAGCUAUAGCAUUCACUACUUAGUCAUUUAGUAUUAAAUCUCCACACCACAUCAAACCAACAUAUAAUUAUAUUUGAAAUCUGAGCAAUUUCCCAAGCAACACAACCAUUAACUUUCAAGCUCACCUUUCAUCUUAAUUAAGCAUGUUGAUGCCAACACCGUCAUCACUUGGCCAAAGACUAUUUUCAAAUCGAAGUAUACUCCAAGGCAAUCAAGCCCAGUGCUCAGACCAUUUUUCUACAAAGAGUCAACUGCAAGGUCCUCGCCCACCUCCAGCUUUCUGUCAAUUUAAUCGAAACAAGGCCUAAUCAAACUCAAACUUUCAACUGAGGAUUGAGAUGACCCAAAGAAACCAUAACAACCACUGUUGAGAUGAACACGGUGGUUCAAGUUCAAGAAUCCAGAAAACACAAGUCUUCAAAUUGAAUCGAGAUGGAGAGUAGCUUACCAAAUCACAUGCAGCUCGAAUAGCCGCCGGAGUUGCCGGAAAUCACAGAAAACCCGUCAAGAAAGUAAAACUACCGCUAGUUGAAUCUCCUCUCUCAGCCGUCGAUUGAAUGAGCUACCACCACCUUCGUGUCGGCGAUGAUGAGAGGAAGCUAUUGGUGCCGCUACGUCGUCGAUCGGUGGCCGGACGACAGAGAAACAACCAUCGGGUCGGUUGGCGACCUGCUUUGGGUCCGAGAGCUUCGUUCUCUCUCUCUCUCUCUCUCGUGCCUUCUCGUGCCUUCUUCCUUUUCAUCUAAAGUUGAAAACAACAGCCAAGAUCAAACGGUGAUUGAGAUCGACGGUCCAUAUUGCAUUUCUUAAAUAUUAAUAUAUAUACUUUUCAAAACAACAUAACUUCUAAAAUUCAUAAAAACUAUAUUAGGUAUCUCAAAAAUCUACCGAAGAUUCUUACGAAUACGAACUCGUCGUAUCGUGUACUUUAUUAUCCAAGUCUUAACUCAAGGACUUGACCUUGUAAUUUUUUUUUCACAGAUUUCUUUGAGCACAUUUUUAAAAUCGUUGAGAUCGAUAAACUAUUUACCAAACGACCUCAAACUAAGCUCGUAAAAUUUUCCGAGUGUUACAACCAAGUUGCGCCGCUGGAACCCGAUUAUGCUCCUUCUGCAUCAAUUCGAUUCCCGAAACCGCAAACCAGCACCUCUAGUGCUUCGAACCCCGAUACCGCUCUUCAUCGAGGGACCACCAUACCCUGAACACCGAAAGUCGUCCACAAGGACAUAAGGACGACGUUGCCACCUCGAUGCACUAAACCCUAGAUGUUUGGGGAGCUCCAAAAAGAAAAUGGGAGCAAUAUUCGAGUUUGUCUACUAUACAGAUGUGUACUGUAUACAAACUCAAAAAGUGGUUCACUUACUUCUAUUUAAAGGCAUACAAAAGGCAUUUUGAGGGGAUAAUUGUCAUUGUUAUAUUUUCAAGCAAUGAUAGCCACAUAUUUAGUUUGUAUGGUAUGCAUUUGUAUACUAUAAUUUUCUGCACUAUUCUCAAAUUAUUUUGGUUUUGAUGUUGCAUAUACUUCACACCUCCAACACCUUGAUCAGAGAUCAAUGCAUUGUAUUGCACAUACUGGUAGUGAAAUUAAGAGAAGAUCAAUGGAGCCACUCUAAAUACUUAACACAUAAAAUUCUUCAAAUAAAAUUCAUAAUAACUAAAUCUUUCUAAAAUUAAUGUGGAUAGUGCUUUUCUAAGGAGACUGGUUGUGGUGACGCAAUGGAGUACUAGUGAGGAAUGAUUCUGGCAUGGGUAUUGAUGCAUUGGCAAGGCGUUUUCCACAUGCACACUUGGAGGUGUGUAGAGAUAGUGAUGCAGUACAAGAUUUUAGCCAAAUUCAAUAAAGAAUCUCGAAACGAAAGAAACAUCAUCACAUUAAGAAGAAUGAUUUGAAUAUUAGAAAUUUGUAUUCAAGUAAGCUUCUUAAUGAUGGAAUUAACCAUAAAUUACUUUUGGAUAUAUCGGGAUUUCCAAGCAAAAAGACAUAUUCUGGAUUGUGAAUCGGAUUGGAGCAAAUUUUAGUCAAAACAUCCGUUUGGAACGCAUGAUACAUUUCCAGUAUGGGAACGACGAGAUCUACAAGACUCACUUUAGUGUGUCCUAUCAGAUUUAAGCUAGUAGGUAAAUUGACAUGGAAAGUGACUCUGCCAUCCUUAUUGCUGCUCUCAAGAGUGAGGAGAGAAGAAUUUCACUUUAGUGAGUCUUAUCAGAUUUAAGUGAGUCAUAUCAGAAUUUCACUUGAGUGAGUCCUAUCAGAUUUAAGUGAGUCCUAUCAGAAUUUCACUUUAGUGAGUCCUAUAAGAUUUAAGCUAGUAGGUAAAUUGACAUUGAAAGAGGCUCUGCCAUCCUUAUUGUUGCUCUCAAGAGUGAGGAGAGAAGAAUUUCACGGAGGUAAGUCAAGUUUUAGAAGUUAUUGUUUAUGUAUAGCUCGAGAUAUAGGUGUCAUGUCACCCCGAUACAAAACUUUACCAUUAAUAUAAUAAAUGAAGUCGGUCGUGGGGCUGAGCCUCCCGCGGGUUCCAAACCCCCUCUCAAAAAAAAUUUAUUAUUUUAUUUAUUAUUAUUUUUUUUGGAAUUAAUGAAAUGCUUCAUUAAUGGUUCCCCCAAAGGGUUAAACCCAAAAGGAAGAGCCCAAACAACAUAAUUUAUUAAAUCACAGUGUACAUUAGUAUUACGAACAUAUAUAUAUGGCUUAAAAAGAAACAAAGAUGGUCCUUUAGCUUAUCGAAAAAAAAAAACAGAGAUGGUCCUUAUAUGGUAGAUGUUUCUGCCGUAUAUUACUUUACUGCAUUUUCAUUUCCCUGCGUCUGUCACAGCUGGGAGGUUUUUGUCCUUAAUUAACUCCUUAUCGAUCUCACCACAACCUACAAUAACUACCGGCACCAUUGGUCUUCCGAGAUAAGUUGGGACGCUCUCCAUCUCAUGAAGUAUGUCCAUCCCGUUCACAACCUUGCCGAAAACAACAUGUUUCCUGAAAGUAUAAACACGUACGGUGAACCAAUAAGUCUGUAUUUCUAUAUAUGUGACCCGUUUUUGGUAUAGGGGUGAUGAAAAACUGUAAACAUUACCCGUCGAGCUGAGGCAAACAUGAGAAAGUGAUGAAAAACUGUGAUCCAAUUGUCAAUAUGCCUUCAUGGUUUGCCAUCGAUAGUAAAUAGGGUUCGUCAUGCUUCCCUAUGUUCUCAACAGGAUCAGUAACCGGAAAACAUUUAUUGUCACUAGAUUUUACAGCAAACUGUCCACCGGUUCCUGCAAAAGUUCAUCGUUACAAGUGCAGGAAUGAACGAGUUCUUCCUCAAAAAAAUUAAAGUGCAGGAAUGAGUUCAUACUUUUAAAAAGAAAAAUCAAGUUAUAUACAAGUUAAGAAUCAUACCAUCGCCGGUUGUAAAGUCACCACCCUGUGUAGAGUAGAGUCGACAGAGAAAAGAGUAAAGAGUUAAAUAUCAUGCAUGUAAUCAAAAUAAAAUAAAAUAAAAAAUCGUGGCAAAGAAGAGGACAUACUUGGGCUUGAAGUCCUUUGUUUAUGAGAUGAAAUUUGGAUCCUUUAUAUUGGAGGAGUUGCGGCGAUUCUCCGGAACUUCCGGGUCUCUGGUAACCUAAAUAUAAAAUAUUUUAUAUAUAUAUAUAUAUAUAUAUAUAUAUAUAUAUAUAUAUAUAAUCAUUAAAUCUCAUUCGCAAGAAGGGAUAUUUUCACAUAUAUAAUCAAAAUUACCUUUACAAAGAUUUCUAAAAUUUUUGGCCGUACUUGGAACCUGGUCAUCAAACAGCUGCACAAUGUGAAAAGGUUAAACUUGUACGUUGCCUCAAAAAAACAAAUUCUUUUCAGAUUUUUCAUUACCUUGAUUUCAAUUUGUCCUUUCUUCACGCUAUCAAUUUCUAUCUCCAAGUAGACCAGAGGUUUCUCCUAAAACGAAUGUAACGCAAUGUUGGUUAAGAAACAUACUUAGGUAAUAUAGCUCCCGAAAAUAACAGAAUUUUUUUACCUCGUUGGUGCCUUUAUUCUUCUUCUUGGCCAUGGUGACCAACACACUGACCCCAAGUCACGAGUUUAUUGCAAAGUGCCCAGAAUUAUGUAAAUCCAAUAUGGCUAGUCUACCUUAUCUCACAAUUCACUUUAUCACAACUGUAUUCUUGUAUUUUGCACUACAAGAAUGUUAGACAAUAGUAAUGUCGUACACCUUAACACACAAGACACAAUUAACUUUUGAUCUUUGAUUCACGACGUUGUGCUAAUAUAUAUAGCAACGACGAACUUAUUCCUACUUCCCACUUACUUGACAUCAUAAGGAAAAUUUUGCUUUAGCAGUAAAAAAGAUUCCAUAAUUCGGGAAAGUUAAUAUACAAAACUAUUAGAAUAUCUCACUUACUUUCUAACAAAGAGUUUUUUUUCACCAACGGUCUCUCAACUCUGGUGCACCUACCAAUGUGAUACCUCAACUCUCAUUCAUACUAUUGUAGUACCCAAACUUUAUAUUUGCCAUCAUUGACGUACUUACAUCAGAUUUUUGUAACAUCUCAGUUAUUGGUGUGACAUGGCAACAUCAUGGGGCCCAAAAUAAGGGGCAAACAUGAACUGUUACAAACAAACCUAAUUUGAUCAAAAGAGAAAAUUACAUAUAAGGAGCUGAUUAAUUAUUUUUUUUGAAAAGAGGAACUGGCUAAAUUUAAAAACACAAAAAACUAACAUUCAAUAUUUUUUUAUACAAAUUAGGACAUGAACCCAAACCCAACACUAAUAAUAGCAGACCUGACCCGAAUUGUAGAUAUGAAAUGACUAAAAUGCCCAACUCUAAAUUAAAAGGCACACACCUCGUCCUUUAUCUUCUUCUAUCACCUAUCACCUAUCACCACAGAUUUGUUCCUCUCUCUCUCUCNNNNNNNNNNNNNNNNNNNNNNNNNNNNNNNNNNNNNNNNNNNNNNNNNNNNNNNNNNNNNNNNNNNNNNNNNNNNNNNNNNNNNNNNNNNNNNNNNNNNNNNNNNNNNNNNNNNNNNNNNNNNNNNNNNNNNNNNNNNNNNNNNNNCGACGGCUCCACCAAUCCCUUUCGGUUUCAUUGUACAUAUUCCUCGGUCAUCCACUGCGGUCAAAAUCCAAUCUGCUACUAAAGCUACUUGAUCUGAGGCCAACGACAUGAGCAAUCAACAUUGUCAAGGAGGAAGAUGAGUUGAUUCUUGUUCAAAGAAUAUCAAUUCAAUUGUCGCUGAAUCUUGGGGGCUCAGAUUUGGGUAUAUGAUUGGGUUGAGCUUCUGAGUAGCAGUGGGAGGUUGAGGUCGGACGAAGACAAUGCCUUGAAAGUUGAGCUAUAUUAUUGGGUUGAGGUAAUGCAUUGAAAUGGACUAUACUGGUUGAGGCAGUAGCAGUGGGUUGAGUAGCAGAGUGGGAUGAGUAGCAAACGUAGGCAGUAGAAGGCAGAUUAGUAGUAGAAGUCGGCAUUAGCGGUUAGAUUCGCGGUAGUAGUAGUCAUUUCGUCAUCAGUAGUAGAAAAUUUCUAAUAGCGACAGUAGCAGGCUAGUAGCUUUAUGAAGGUUUCCUAUCGCGACAGUAGCAGCUUUGUUUGAUCCCGGUGAAUUGCCUGAACAAAAAUUGUAAUAGCACCUUUUUAUCGAGUGCCACUGUGCUACUGCACCCAAUGUGCUAUUGUGUUAUUCGGUAGUGUGCUACUGUGCUACUCGUCGACAGUAGCAGUUAAUAUGUAGUGAAGGGUAUUCUGGUAAAAUUGUAGCGACAGAUGACAUGUAGAUAUUAGUUUGUCCUAAUUUGUUAAUAUUUGUCCAUAUGUAAGAUAUUGUGUAAAGAAUGUAUUUAUAAACUAAAUUUGGUUAGUAACUUUAUAGUAAUUUACUAUGGUGAAAAUCGGUGUAUGUCUUCCAAAAGCCAAAAGCCAAAAGCCGACUCUCUAUCUCAUGAUUCUCAUCUAUGUCGACUCUAUCUCAAAAGUGAGAAGAUUUCAUCUUUCUUCACCUCGAUCAAUCUUUUACUUGAAGAAGAUUCAACAAGUGAAAAUCAGUAGACGGCUCGAUUCAAAUCUCUAACAGUAGAGAGUAUCUUUGAUGGCGAAGAUGUGGAUUGUGGAGGAUGUUUCAGGAAUCUGGUCAGCCACCAAAAAGUAAGUCGUCUUUACUAGUCGAGUGAAACGAGAAUCCCACAAAAUCACACAUGACUGAACAAAAGAGAACGAUUUUUUUUUUGGCUUUAAACCUGGGUUUUCGACAUCGGUGAUUCGGUGUGCAGAAGGUCUGAAGGUUUGAUAAAGAAAUUGUUUUAGUUGGAGUUGGUGAUAAAGAAUGAAGCAUAAUUGCAUAAAGCCAAAUAGAUUUGUGUGUUCGUGGUUUUAUAUUGAUCUUGCUCCUUGGACUUUAGUUGCCAACCCAGAAGCUUUGGAUCAGCUGUUCUUCUUCUUCUUCUUUUUUUGUUCAAAUCGGUUCUGUUAAACUAGUAAAAGUUCAAUGUUUUACUUGAUCCUUUAUAUGUACUCUUGACAAGUAGUUCAUGCUUUAGUUUAGUGUUUGACAUUGUUGAAUGAUGAUUGAAUACACAUCUAAAUGAUAAUUUUUAUUUCAGUUCCAGAUAAUCAGUACAGAUUGGAGAUUCAUCAUGGUGGUGGUUAUUUUGAGAAGCAGUUAGAUGGGAGUAAGAAAUAUAAAGUGGCUAGGUUUAACAAGAUGGGAGGGAAGAUCUACUUGGACGGAUUAGACCGUGAACUCCUGUCGUUGAUUGAAUUGAACAACAUUGCCUAUGCUUUGGGGUACAGGGAGGAGCCUAUUUCUUAUCACUUCAACUUCCAAGGAAAACAUGUAAUGAGGGGUGGAUUCCAAUCAAAAACGAUGCAGAGGCAUUGGAGAUGGUUAAGCUGAUUCCAUCGAAGACCAAACAAAUUAAGUUGGUGGUAGGAGGAAAAAAAUGGAGGCUGAAUUGGGUGAUUUAAGGCCAGAAGAUCUGAUGAAAAUCCACUUAACACUGUAUCUGCAGCAGAAAAGGAGAGAAUGUUUGAAGAAGCUAAUUUGCAUGCUAAACAGUUAGAUACAUGUGGAGUGGGAGUUAAUGAGGAUGGUGGCCCAGAUUUGAUUGAUCUUGAAGUGGAGCUGUAGAGGUAGGUGAAGAUGUUAACGUGGGUGAUCCGGGUAUGGUUGGUGAAGACUCAAGUGGUAUAAAAGGCCUGUGCCAGCUGAGAAGGUUAACAAAAGCGGGAGAAAGCCUGCAGAGCCAAGAUAUAAAACAAGGGAUAAGCCCAGCAAGCAAUCAGAGGUUGUAGUUGAUGAUGAUGAAUCUGAUGAUGGUUCAGAUAUCUAUGUUGACUCAGACUAUGAUCUUGAAAAUGACGAGUUUGAUGAUUUUUAAUCCGAGAGUUGUUGAAGAGUUUGAAGAUACGGGUUUUAGAGGAUAUUGUUCUGAUGAAGCAGGAGAUGCUGAUGAGCUUAUGCUUAUGUACCCUAUUGCUUAUGCUGUUGUAGAGGUGGAGAACCAAGACUCAUGGACCUGGUUCCUUGAAUAUCUUAAGUGAGACUUAGAGAUUGAAUGGGACAGCAGCUAUACAUUCAUGACAGAUAAACAAAAAGGGUUAGGAAAUGCCAUUGCAAGUAUGUAUUUCAGUUUUAUUUCAUGUUAUUAAUUCCAUUCCGGUGUCAUUCUUUGUUCACUAACAUGAUCUUAAUGGGAUUUUGCAGGUUUGUUUCCUAAUGCCGAGCAUAGGCAUUGUGUAAGGCAUCUCUACAAUAAUUUCAAAGCCAAGCAUCCGGGAGAAGGGCUAAAACAGAUGGUAUGGAAUGCAGCCAGAUUAAGCACAAUUAUGUGGUACAACAGACACAUGGCAGAUCUAAAAGAUUUGAGUGAGCAACGUAUCUAAGACAAACUAUGAGAGACUUGCAUGGAAGCAAGUACGUACUGCCAUUUUUUUAAAGGAUUAAUGCCAAACCAAUACUAAGUGUCACGGACUGUGGAUUUUUAUGUUUUAAUUCUACUACACGACGUGGAUUUGAUCUAACUAUUCGACAUCCGUUGGUUAAUUAGAGCUAUAUGGGAAAUUGUUGCAAAGUCCUCAUCGGUGAAGGCAACAAAAUUGCCUUUAAAAUUUUUAGGAAAGUAUUUUUUUUCCCAGUAGAUUUCCUCUAGAUUUGGAUUAUAUUUCUCUACUUUCCUAAACCUACGUUAGGAUUCCUUGCUUAAGUUGGGUGGUUGUUGCUAUAUAAGCAUAGACGUGCUCUAUAUUUUUUUAAUAUGAGAAGUGUUUUGUGGUCUGGGUCGUGAAACAAUCAAGGAGACUGACAUCAAGUUAUUAUGUUUGUUCUUAUCUAGAUUACAUGUAAAGCAUGGUUUGUUGCAACGGUUACUGAUUAAAUACUUUGCUAGCUAACUGGUUGUCAAUAUUCUCAUUACUGUGCAGAGUCUUCCAAUAUAAUUUCUCCUUUGCGCGCAGAAUGGAUGCACUAGAUAUUGAGAGCCGCUUGCGUAAGGAGGCUUUCGCUUGUUCGCAGACAUUGGAAGUAUGCUAUCAUAUUUCGACUUUAGAUAUUGGAGACCCGGAAAUUUGUUACGGUAUUUUUGAACCAGUUCCAAAACAAUAUUCUCGUGGAGUAAUAAGGAGGUUCGAAACUUUGGAAGAAGCCAGUUCUCACUAUCAAAGUUUGAAGGAAAACAACCCUAGCCCCUCAUACGUGAUAAAACCAGAUGGGCAUUUGCCUCGGCACUCUGAUGAUGGAGGUGCUUGUAAGGUCAAAUAUUCUUGUGUGUUUGAAAAAUUGCAGCACUGGUUGGACAACUUUGUAAAGAAGAAUAGGUCUGAUGUCGAUCUUUUUAAGUUUUUGGAUAAUCUUGGUCCAGCAUUGGAGUAUCGGUAUAAAAAGACGGGUUCGAUUGGCGACAUUGUGAAUGACACGGUCAUAACCGAUGAUGGACGAGUUCUCUUCUGGAAUUGGGCUCCAAAAAGUAAAGAUUUCAAAACUGAAGUUGGUAUACUCCGAAACUUUAUUGUAGAUAUAAAGACGCUAGCAAAGAAUCCUAGUCGUCUUCAAGCAUUUGAGGACUUUAUCAACGACGUCAUUCUAGUUUUUCCAGAUCCCGCUACUGAUUUGCAAUUAUGGGUUUUCAAUUAUCCAGUAUUUAUGACCAAGAAAAAGAGUGUGAGGUUUCUUGAAGCUUUGCACAAGAUGGUGUGUGAUCCCAGUUAUCCAAUGUCUACAAAUGUUGAAUUCAACGAUGCAAUACGAAAAUAUGACACGACAUGGAAAAAUAAUUUGAGCACAUACCUCGUGUUGCAAAAAAUUUUGACUUUUCGUGGUGGUUACAAAGUGGAUAGCUUUGAACUACCAAGAUAUGUAUAUAACAGCGUUAAACACUACGGCCAACAUGCACAAAAUUUGAAUCAGGUAUAUAUAUGUUCUCACAUCGAGAGGUUCUAAUUUUUUGCGUUGAUUUUGACGGAUCCGAAUAUGUGCAUGUUUGCUAAUUAUUAUUUGUUAUUUCCUUGAAUGAACAGCCUGAACUCACCCAAGUCGAGGUUAUAGACUUGUUCUAUUCUAUCCAGGAUUUUGAAGCUUUGCCAGAAGACUUAUUUCGAGCAUUAUACGAGGGUGUGAAUUCGCUUGAGCAAAACUUGCAAACUCCUUCGAAUUACUCAUUAGAGAAGGUGUUGGACAUGGUGAAAGGUUUGUUUUACAAAUGUUUAAUUUGACACUGCAACUUUGACAUGUAUAUUGUUUUUUUGAUAAGUUGACGAGAAUAUUGUUUUCUUAUUGAUAGGAGGAGAAAGUAUGUGAGAAAGAGGCACGAGAGAGAGAGAGAGAGAGAGAGAGAGAGGAGAAGGAGCAGGAGUCCCAUUUCAUCUUCUUCUUUUUUGGUGGUUCGGCUUAACUAUUUUUGUCCUUUUUAGCGUGUGUAUUUUUUUUUAUUAAUAAAAAAUAACUUAUAUUGUAAGACAACUUCAUGUUCAUUCUAUUAUAAGAUCCGAAUCAUCAUCUAAUAUCUCUCUCGUAAUGCCCUAAUGGAUUUUUUUUUCGGUCGGAAAGAUAACAUCAUUGAAGAGCUAAAAGGCUCAUGGCACAUUUACAAACCUAUGUGGAUAUAGUUGUUCUACAAUAAAAUUUAGGUUGAUGUUAUUAACACAUCUCAUCUAUUUUUCUAUCCACACAUUUUAAUUUUAUUUACAAACUUACAACUUGAAUUAACAAAAAAAAAUGUGUUAACCAUGUGUACUUCUUUAAAACAGUGACAAGAAGAUAUUUUUGCCGAAUUUAUCUAAAGAAACAUAAGAAAGUCGUUAUUCAAAAUAUGGUCUAACACAGCACAACGAAAAAACACAAACACACUAUACACACUAUACACACUAUUAGUUGGAUCAUAUCACCUGCAGAGUAAAACUAGAGUACCAAAGACAAAGUGAACCAAUACAACUACUUCAAUCAUGAUAUAGGACCCUUCCACUAAGGGAUUGAGCAUUACACCAACGUACUUUUCGAUCACAUUUUUCAAUCUUAACAGUUUAUAACAUAAUUACCUACUGUCUAUAAGAUUAGCCAGGCUCCGGUUGUUGAGUUCGUAGAGGGCUGCAAUACACGAAGUGCCUUCAUCUCAUCUAUAUCAUAUAACUCGGACCAUGUAUCAAUAAGGGGAUUAACAGGGAUUCUUUUGUCCUCAGUUCAUUAGUCUAAGCAUUUUGGAGGCGGAAAAAGGGUUUUAAUUUGAUGAAGAAUCUUGCAUUCUGGAUUUCUAGAGGCUGCAGAGGUCUUUGCCUAUGGAGUUUCUAAAGCACACUACAGAUUAAUAGAUAGUACUCCUAGUAGUUAAAGUAAUUGGCAGAUGGGCUACAGAACUUUUCUAACACCGUAAGUGGCAGCUUCUUCCAACUGCAAUUUUUCAUGUCAAAUUUUUUUAUCAGCUGCUGUUUAAGUUACCAUAAAAAAAUUCAUGGUGAAGGGAUCAGAGAUGGGCUUGUCAUGCUUGUCAUGUACAGUUUCCUAAGUUCGGAGUAUAGUAACCUUUAGAGAGUAAAUCUUUUAAGAAGUGAGGAAGAAAAUUUUAGCACCUUUAAGCCCAUCAAGAGAGAUAUUAAUUCAACCAAGGCAUAUGAAUAAGCUGGUGAGCUUCUGGUAUAGGUGUAAGAAAUUCCUGGUAAUAGAAAAACAAAGAAAUUAAAAAUGAGUAACAUAAACAAAAGCUUGUCACCACAAAUGUAAGUGAAGAAGCAAAUAUAAGUGUCUUUCUAGCUUCUUGUUAGUCAAUAUUAGGAAAACUACUGUAAAGAACUACCCCUGAUUUUUUUUUUUAUAUUUUAUUUGGGAAAAUUCCCUCUGCGUGCUUAACAACAAGGGUGGCUUUUGGGCCGUGCGAUGUGUGCGGUCGUACAGGACUUCCGAUUUUCGGGAGCCUCCAAAAAUGUUUAUCAUAUAGAGAUCAAAAAUAACAAAAAACCUUAUUUGUUAAUUGAUCGAUUUCACUUUUCGAGUAUAGAAGUUUUCAGGUUCAUUCCCUAUCACAUACAACUCCUCUUCUUCUUUUUUAAGUUCAAGAACUUGAAGGAUAUGUUGUCUCCUGUAUUAGUUAAGUGAGAGAUUCUAAUUUUGGUUUAUAGGUUCUCACCUGAUAAGGCCACAUCUGAAAGUUCGUAUAAAACCUCCUAUUACAGCCCUGCUCAAAAACACCGUAAUUUCUGGCCAUUUUCUUUUUCAAUGUAUGGGUCACAUAUCUAGUAGAUAUACGAUAACAUCCAAGCAUAUACAUAUAGAUAUAAACUGGAUUUGGGAUCAACCUCAGACUUUCCAGGCUGGUUGACAAUGUCUUAGCUACACAAAAUUGAAAACUUCUUUGAAAUUAAAAGUGAAUGUACGAUUACUUGUUUAGAACUUUCCUGGAACCGAACAUAUAUGUAGCUGACAAGUUCGAAAGCUUAUUAAUCAAAGUUGCAUAUAUUAUUUUUUUGAUACAAAAAAGUAAAAUUACGGGUCGGGCAACCCAAGUUUAUACUAACAAAAAGUAAGACUCUAGUAGCUGAACAUGGAAAUCUAUUACUCUAAAUGUGACCAUUCGGAAGUUAGUGUCCUUCAUGAGCAAUGAUGUCUGUCAUGUUAUUGGCUUCUCUAAACACAUGCAUAAAGCAAACAGAAGAGAAGGAUAUUGCAAAAUCUCUAAUGUCAUGAAUGAGCUUGAGAAGUCUCCAAGGGAUGCUGAUUCUUCUAUUAAUAGCGUCAAUAACCAGCUUUGAGUCACAUUCCACUUGAAUAUUCUGGUAGCCUUGGUCCUUUAUUUUUUACUAAUUAAGCUGUCUCUUAAAGCUACAACUCCUGCAACUGGAAUAGUUGUCUUCUCUAAUCUUGAUUACAAAGAAGUUGCAUAUAUUUUGAUUAAUACAAGAUCUCAAUACCACACGCGUGUUAGCAGAUUUUACAUUUUUAUAGCGUCGGCCGGAUUGUAGUAAAUGGAUUGUAGUCUGUAGAUAGAAACAGAAAAGUGAGAAAGUACAUUGUAUUGAUCUACAUGUUGCCGUAUACAAAAAAUUUCAUUUAUUUCCCGAUCUAAUCUAUACAACAACAGACAAUGAUAACUACAUAUACCGGUAAAUAGAACUUUACUGGUAGGGGAACAUAAAAAAAUGAUAAGUUACAACCUUAGUUUUCUAACAACCACCACCACCUCCUCCACAACCACCACCACCACCACCACCUCCACCUCCUCCACAACCACCACCGCCACCAACAUCACCACCACCUCCUCCACAACCACCACCGCCACCACCAUCACCACCACCACCACAACCGCCUCCUCCACCACCGCCACCCCUCCUUUUCUUGCUUGAUGAUCCACAAGCAAAUAUGACCAUCGAUAUGAGUGAGAGAGACAUAAGAACCAUGCCAACCAAAAGCAGGCCGCCAGAGUUGUCUGCCAAAAUACUGAGACCUACUCCCACUCCAUGACCACCACCACCAACAACAAAAUAAUUUCUAGCCAUUUUUUGGGUCUCGUUGCGUAACAAUACUUGCCGUAUGAACAAAUACUGUGUAGAAUUAAAAGCGAAGAACAGCUAUAUAUAUAGGAAUUCCAAGCAUACGUAUCACAUGCACCUAUGAGGUGUUGAAGUUUCAAAGCCAUAUUCUUCAAGUAUUUGAAUUGGCAGCUACAGAUUGAAAGGUUGAAGCUUAGACAAGUCUUACAAUUAAGGUGAUCCACAUAUAAGAACAUAUAUAUAUAUAUAUAUAUAUAUAUAUAUAUAUAUAAUGCAAAAUGUACACAUCACAUUUGCUGACAUUCGUUUGAGGUUGAUCUAACAACAACAAUGCGAAAAGUCUAUAUGUUGUACUUGUAUACCAAUAAAUUCCAAGCAAAAACUAUGGAUUUCUUGAGUUUGGACUCCCAAAGUAUAUCAAUAAAUAAGAUCUACAUAUAAGAACAUAUAAGAAAAGAAUUUUCUGCUUCACAUGCUUCAUUUUCAAUCGAUCGAGUCGUAGACUACCUCGCUUAUGCUACUACAACUGCUUAUACUAGCAGUGGCAGCUCUAGACACAACUUGCAGCAGCACUAGCCUUACUUGCCUGCAGGUAAGAACUGAGUCACUAACGAAACUUACAAAGAGUGCACAACUGGGUAGUAAAACACAGGUUAGAGAUAUACGAGUGUCGACUGAAAAAUUACAUGUUCAAAACUAUCAAAACAGCUGAACCACUUCACAAUAGCUAGAUCAUCAUCACACAUCAUUCCACAAAAUCAAAAUCAGAACAAUUCAAUCAGAAGUUAAUGAGACUUUAUUGCAUUCAUAAUGCAGUCUUCUUUUUCUUUUUUCAAUCUCCUACCUCCACUUUGAAUAAAAAUUCCUAACUUAUUCCUGUAAAACAUGGCUUGUAAAAGUAAAGCCAACAACAUCAGUAGCCAAAUUCAUAUAUAGCAAUUCACAUGGUCCAAAUUCAUAUCAGUAGCCAAUUCACAUGAUACCCUCUCAAUUCUCAGUAUAUUCAAUCAUAUUGAUAGCAUCCUCUUCAAUACCAAACUCUCUUCAAUCACCACGAUAACAUCCCACAUCACAAGUUUGAAGCUUGUAACAUAGACCUAUUCUCCAUCUAAACAGGAAUCGCCAACAGCGUAGGAGAUACCAGUAGUUGUUGUAUCAUUAUCUUCUGAGAACAUACAAACUGAAAUUGAAAAGUAAGUUGCUUGAACCAGAAACAUAUUAAUUAUUUAGUCUUCUUUAUUUUUGAACGUAGGUCCAUUUAUCUCAAGAGCAAAUAAAAUAAUUAAAGUGCAACAUUCAGACAUGUAAAAUCAAGCCACUCACUAAACGCAAAAAAGUAGCAACAAUAUGCUUCAAAUGAUGCAGCUAAACAUCGAAGAGAUAUGACGAAAAUAUAAAUCCAAAGAUAACUUCAGUACAUUACCAAAGACAAUGAGGAUAACAGCUAGCUAUGAAGACCUGCUUUGUAAGCUCUUUAGACCAACUAGCUACACAAGUGUAGAUAAUCCACGCGUAUGUAUUUUUCCUUUCUCUUGUGCAGAAGAUUCACUAUCAAUAAACACAAAGCAAUUAGUAAGUUAUCAUGAGCUAGAUUAACGAUUUGACAAGAAUGACAAUAAUACAAAAACAUGAUGUUAAGGUGCUUACAUUCCUACAGUGUAACCAAGUAAUGUGCCGUCUUGCUGAAUAAGGACUCCAUUUGAGAGUCUCCGAGCAACAACUGAGGAUGGUUGUUGAUUCUUUUCGGUAGUGCGCGCAAUCGCUGCCGCUGCUGGGAGUGUAGUCGAAUGUGAAUUUGUGGCAAUGAAGCUCGCAACCGACAUUUUCCAAAUAAUCGUCCCAAACCAAAGCAAACCUUUCGGUUCCAAUUUGGAAUAAGAGCGGUAAAAAGUAGUUGUAAACGCGGUCCUCCUCGAACCCUUCUGGGAUAACCGGAAGAGCAUCAUCAAGGCCCUUGACAGGUUAAUCGAGCCACUGACGCUGGCGAAUAUCAAACACGUACAAACCAGGCUGCUGGGAGAAUAAGGAACUGCAUGUUGGUUUCUUGGUCCCAAAGCAUACUAAGUAGGAGUCACCGUAGAGCACCACUCCGGGAGCCAAGCGACUUCAGAUCCUUGUUCCCUUGGCCGCCGUCCGUCCUCAAUUACGAACCAUAAACGCGACUUGUCUUCGGCCCUAACCUGUAGGUAAAUCGGUCUGUUCCACUCAGCAACCUUCUUCUCCUCUCUUGUUCCCGUCCUCUCCAUCGUUCCCAUCUUCUCCCUUUCGAACAAAUCAUAGUUUCGAUCAACUUUUCUCUUCUUUGACCGACUGCGAGACAGAAGUACUCCUCCCAUCGCUUUGUCUUGAUGCCUAUAUACACACACACACUUACAUAGAUGACCUAGUUUUCAUUGGACCGAAGAAAAAGAAAACGAAUAAACCAAAAAGGAAGAUGAAGAAGAAGAAGGAAGGUCUUAAAACAACGUAUAAUAUCAAUUAUUUUUGGCAAAUUAUUAUUCCCUUAAUGUAUGAGACAUUUGGCUCUCUGUAUUGUAACUAUUGUUUCCUUGCUUCAGCUUGAAAUGGAAGCCGGGGAUGAGAUUGAUGCUAUCUUGCACCAGACUGAAGGAGCUGCAC
RNAcentral lists this long non-coding RNA (25566 nucleotides) under Fragaria vesca (wild strawberry). Its description in RNAcentral is "long non-coding RNA (FVES_LNC003281)". The record is from RNAcentral. Lineage: Eukaryota; Viridiplantae; Streptophyta; Magnoliopsida; Rosales; Rosaceae.